GUGCCUGAAACGACAAGGGCUGCUUUGAUAAAGCAGACAUGGAAUCACCACACUCCCACUUCCUG
RNAcentral lists this transfer RNA (65 nucleotides) under Moloch horridus. Its description in RNAcentral is "tRNA-Ile". The record is from RNAcentral. Lineage: Eukaryota; Metazoa; Chordata; Lepidosauria; Squamata; Agamidae.